RNAcentral lists this ribosomal RNA (577 nucleotides) under Phakopsora euvitis. Its description in RNAcentral is "eukaryotic LSU rRNA". It matches the Rfam family "Eukaryotic large subunit ribosomal RNA", at positions 56 to 634 of the family's 3401-position model. The record is from RNAcentral. Lineage: Eukaryota; Fungi; Basidiomycota; Pucciniomycetes; Pucciniales; Phakopsoraceae.
GAAAAGAAACUAACAAGGAUUCCCCCAGUAACGGCGAGUGAAGAGGGAAAAGCCCAAAUUUGUAAUCUGGCUCUUUUAGAGUCCGAGUUGUAAUUUUGAGAACUGUUUUCUGUGCUGGACCAUGUUUAAGUCUGUUGAAAAACAGCAUCAUUGAGGGUGAUAAUCCCGUUCAUGAUAUGGACUACCAGUGCUAUAUGAUACAGUCUCUAAGAGUCGAGUUGUUUGGGAAUGCAGCUCAAAGUGGGUGGUAAAUUCCAUCUAAGGCUAAAUAUAGGUGAGAGACCGAUAGCAAACAAGUACCGUGAGGGAAAGAUGAAAAGAACUUUGGAAAGAGAGUUAACAGUACGUGAAAUUGCUGAAAGGGAAACAAUUGAAGUUAGCCUUGUUAUUUCCAGUUCAACCCUUUUAGGGUGUAUUCUGGUAAUUAACGACCAACAUCAGUCUUUGAGUGCUGGAUAAGGGUUUUGGAAAUGUAGCAGUCUAGGCUGUGUUAUAGUCCAUUACUUUGAUACAGUGCUUAGGAUUGAGGAUCGCAGUAAGCCAAUCUUGGUGGAUCAAUUUAUUGAUCUUCUUACUG